CGACCGGCGCACGGGUGAGUAACGCGUAUGUAAUCUACCUGUAACAGAGGGAUAACCCGGAGAAAUCCGGACUAAUACCUCAUAGCACAUAUUAUUCGCAUGAAUUUUACUGUUAAAGAGACUCGGUUACAGAUGAACAUGCGUUCCAUUAGCUAGUUGGCGGGGUUACGGCCCACCAAGGCAACGAUGGAUAGGGGUUCUGAGAGGAAGGUCCCCCACAUUGGAACUGAGACACGGUCCAA
Molecule: ribosomal RNA, 242 nt
Filed under: uncultured bacterium
Lineage: Bacteria
Description: partial 16S ribosomal RNA
Rfam family: Bacterial small subunit ribosomal RNA
Source: RNAcentral